Molecule: ribosomal RNA, 82 nt
Filed under: Cyrtochilum annulare
Lineage: Eukaryota; Viridiplantae; Streptophyta; Magnoliopsida; Asparagales; Orchidaceae
Also listed under: 28 other names
Description: 5.8S ribosomal RNA
Rfam family: 5.8S ribosomal RNA
About the family: 5.8S ribosomal RNA (5.8S rRNA) is a component of the large subunit of the eukaryotic ribosome. It is transcribed by RNA polymerase I as part of the 45S precursor that also contains 18S and 28S rRNA. Functionally, it is thought that 5.8S rRNA may be involved in ribosome translocation.
Source: RNAcentral
GACAAUGGAUAUCUCGGCUCUUGCAUCGAUGAAGAGCGCAGCGAAAUGCGAUACGUGGUGCGAAUUGCAGAAUCCCGCGAAC